Pongo abelii (Sumatran orangutan) is the source of this 117-nucleotide unclassified non-coding RNA. It matches the Rfam family "Metazoan signal recognition particle RNA". From Rfam's summary of the family: The signal recognition particle (SRP) is a universally conserved ribonucleoprotein. It is involved in the co-translational targeting of proteins to membranes. The eukaryotic SRP consists of a 300-nucleotide 7S RNA and six proteins: SRPs 72, 68, 54, 19, 14, and 9. The record is from Ensembl. NCBI's taxonomy places the organism in Eukaryota, Metazoa, Chordata, Mammalia, Primates, Hominidae.
GCCGGGUGUGGUGGCUCACACCUGUAAUCCCAGCACUUUGGGAGGCCGAGGUGGGCGGAUCAUCUGAGGUCAGGAGUUCGAGACCAGCCUGACCAACAUGGAGAAACCCCGUCUCUA